UUAUCAUUUAGAGGAAGGAGAAGUCGUAACAAGGUUUUCGUAGGUGAACCUACAAAAAGAUCAUUGUCGAGGCUUGCGACCAGUAAGACAAGUGAACCGGUGACCCUAACGAGAUGCGCGUAGCUCAGGGAACGCGGCGCCACCCACUCUCCGGGGGGACCACGCGACAAACCACCCCCGUUGCGAUGGGCGCCAAGGAAUUGAGAUGGAAUGUGCGCGGCUCCAUCCGGGGAUGCCGAUGCGCGUUCGGAACUUACAAGACUCAACAAUGGAUAUCUCGACUCUCACAUCGAUGAAGAACGUAGCAAAAUGCGAUACUUGGUGUGAAUUGCAGAAUCUCGUGACCCAUCAAGUCUUUAAAUGCAAGUUGGGCCCGAGGCCACCCGACUGAGGGCACGCCUGCCUGGGCGUCACGCACCUUACUUCCCCACCUGGCGUUCACCCCAUCUAGCGACAAUGCCACGGGUGGAGACUGGCCACCCGUGCGCCCCUCGCGUGCGGCUGGCUGAAAAGCAUUCGAUCCCUUGUUGGGGAGCGGACGUGGUAGUAGGUGGUUUGAGAGGUGGGGGCAAAGCAAGUGGUACCCAACUCGGCUGCCCCUAGGUCCGGCAGGGACACCCACUGAAUUUAAGCAUAUC
RNAcentral lists this unclassified non-coding RNA (638 nucleotides) under Magnolia liliiflora. RNAcentral describes it as "partial contains small subunit ribosomal RNA, internal transcribed spacer 1, 5.8S ribosomal RNA, internal transcribed spacer 2, and large subunit ribosomal RNA". The stretch from base 258 to 413 matches the Rfam family "5.8S ribosomal RNA". Lineage: Eukaryota; Viridiplantae; Streptophyta; Magnoliopsida; Magnoliales; Magnoliaceae. The record is from RNAcentral.